AAUAAGUCGAUGAUGGAAAAAGGACAGAUCAAUAGCCUUCAGAGAGUCGGUGGUUGGUGCAAACCGAUGGCGAGAAUUUGUCUUAGCGUUCCUGAGAAAUUGCAUUGAAGUUAAGUAGGUGCAAUCGGGUAAUCUCCGUUAUAAGAUAUGGUCAUUACGAUGAUCAUUUGAGGCUGCUGAUAUGAUGCAGUGAAUUAGGGUGGUACCACGAAACUUUCGUCCCUUAC
Molecule: non-coding RNA, 227 nt
Filed under: Paenibacillus antarcticus
Lineage: Bacteria; Bacillati; Bacillota; Bacilli; Caryophanales; Paenibacillaceae
Description: T-box sequence
Rfam family: T-box leader
About the family: Uncharged tRNA acts as the effector for transcription antitermination of genes in the T-box leader family. T-boxes are found upstream of many aminoacyl-tRNA synthetase genes and some amino acid biosynthetic genes usually in Gram-positive bacteria. The anticodon of a specific tRNA base pairs to a specifier sequence within the T-box motif, and the NCCA acceptor tail of the tRNA base pairs to a conserved bulge in the T-box antiterminator hairpin.
Source: RNAcentral